CACAUAUUGUGAGCUCGAUGAGUAGGGCGGGACACGUGGUAUCCUGUCUGAAUAUGGGGGGACCAUCCUCCAAGGCUAAAUACUCCUGACUGACCGAUAGUGAACCAGUACCGUGAGGGAAAGGCGAAAAGAACCCCGGCGAGGGGAGUGAAAAAGAACCUGAAACCGUGUACGUACAAGCAGUGGGAGCACGCUUAGGCGUGUGACUGCGUACCUUUUGUAUAAUGGGUCAGCGACUUAUAUUCUGUAGCAAGGUUAACCGAAUAGGGGAGCCGAAGGGAAACCGAGUCUUAACUGGGCGUUAAGUUGCAGGGUAUAGACCCGAAACCCGGUGAUCUAGCCAUGGGCAGGUUGAAGGUUGGGUAACACUAACUGGAGGACCGAACCGACUAAUGUUGAAAAAUUAGCGGAUGACUUGUGGCUGGGGGUGAAAGGCCAAUCAAACCGGGAGAUAGCUGGUUCUCCCCGAAAGCUAUUUAGGUAGCGCCUCGUGAAUUCAUCUCCGGGGGUAGAGCACUGUUUCGGCAAGGGGGUCAUCCCGACUUACCAACCCGAUGCAAACUGCGAAUACCGGAGAAUGUUAUCACGGGAGACACACGGCGGGUGCUAACGUCCGUCGUGAAGAGGGAAACAACCCAGACCGCCAGCUAAGGUCCCAAAGUCAUGGUUAAGUGGGAAACGAUGUGGGAAGGCCCAGACAGCCAGGAUGUUGGCUUAGAAGCAGCCAUCAUUUAAAGAAAGCGUAAUAGCUCACUGGUCGAGUCGGCCUGCGCGGAAGAUGUAACGGGGCUAAACCAUGCACCGAAGCUGCGGCAGCGACGCUUAUGCGUUGUUGGGUAGGGGAGCGUUCUGUAAGCCUGCGAAGGUGUGCUGUGAGGCAUGCUGGAGGUAUCAGAAGUGCGAAUGCUGACAUAAGUAACGAUAAAGCGGGUGAAAAGCCCGCUCGCCGGAAGACCAAGGGUUCCUGUCCAACGUUAAUCGGGGCAGGGUGAGUCGACCCCUAAGGCGAGGCCGAAAGGCGUAGUCGAUGGGAAACAGGUUAAUAUUCCUGUACUUGGUGUUACUGCGAAGGGGGGACGGAGAAGGCUAUGUUGGCCGGGCGACGGUUGUCCCGGUUUAAGCGUGUAGGCUGGUUUUCCAGGCAAAUCCGGAAAAUCAAGGCUGAGGCGUGAUGACGAGGCACUACGGUGCUGAAGCAACAAAUGCCCUGCUUCCAGGAAAAGCCUCUAAGCAUCAGGUAACAUCAAAUCGUACCCCAAACCGACACAGGUGGUCAGGUAGAGAAUACCAAGGCGCUUGAGAGAACUCGGGUGAAGGAACUAGGCAAAAUGGUGCCGUAACUUCGGGAGAAGGCACGCUGAUAUGUAGGUGAAGUCCCUUGCGGAUGGAGCUGAAAUCAGUCGAAGAUACCAGCUGGCUGCAACUGUUUAUUAAAAACACAGCACUGUGCAAACACGAAAGUGGACGUAUACGGUGUGACGCCUGCCCGGUGCCGGAAGGUUAAUUGAUGGGGUCAGCGCAAGCGAAGCUCUUGAUCGAAGCCCCGGUAAACGGCGGCCGUAACUAUAACGGUCCUAAGGUAGCGAAAUUCCUUGUCGGGUAAGUUCCGACCUGCACGAAUGGCGUAAUGAUGGCCAGGCUGUCUCCACCCGAGACUCAGUGAAAUUGAACUCGCUGUGAAGAUGCAGUGUACCCGCGGCAAGACGGAAAGACCCCGUGAACCUUUACUAUAGCUUGACACUGAACAUUGAGCCUUGAUGUGUAGGAUAGGUGGGAGGCUUUGAAGUGUGGACGCCAGUCUGCAUGGAGCCGGCCUUGAAAUACCACCCUUUAAUGUUUGAUGUUCUAACGUGGACCCGUGAUCCGGGUUGCGGACAGUGUCUGGUGGGUAGUUUGACUGGGGCGGUCUCCUCCUAAAGAGUAACGGAGGAGCACGAAGGUUGGCUAAUCCUGGUCGGACAUCAGGAGGUUAGUGCAAUGGCAUAAGCCAGCUUGACUGCGAGCGUGACGGCGCGAGCAGGUGCGAAAGCAGGUCAUAGUGAUCCGGUGGUUCUGAAUGGAAGGGCCAUCGCUCAACGGAUAAAAGGUACUCCGGGGAUAACAGGCUGAUACCGCCCAAGAGUUCAUAUCGACGGCGGUGUUUGGCACCUCGAUGUCGGCUCAUCACAUCCUGGGGCUGAAGUAGGUCCCAAGGGUAUGGCUGUUCGCCAUUUAAAGUGGUACGCGAGCUGGGUUUAGAACGUCGUGAGACAGUUCGGUCCCUAUCUGCCGUGGGCGCUGGAGAACUGAGGGGGGCUGCUCCUAGUACGAGAGGACCGGAGUGGACGCAUCACUGGUGUUCGGGUUGUCAUGCCAAUGGCACUGCCCGGUAGCUAAAUGCGGAAGAGAUAAGUGCUGAAAGCAUCUAAGCACGAAACUUGCCCCGAGAUGAGUUCUCCCUGACCCUUUAAGGGUCCUGAAGGAACGUUGAAGACGACGACGUUGAUAGGCCGGGUGUGUAAGCGCAGCGAUGCGUUGAGCUAACCGGUACUAAUGAACCGUGAGG
This 2545-nucleotide ribosomal RNA is filed under the name Shigella sonnei. Its description in RNAcentral is "partial 23S ribosomal RNA". It matches the Rfam family "Bacterial large subunit ribosomal RNA", at positions 391 to 2915 of the family's 2925-position model. The record is from RNAcentral. Lineage: Bacteria; Pseudomonadati; Pseudomonadota; Gammaproteobacteria; Enterobacterales; Enterobacteriaceae.